This 774-nucleotide ribosomal RNA is filed under the name uncultured Neocallimastigales. Its description in RNAcentral is "partial large subunit ribosomal RNA". It matches the Rfam family "Eukaryotic large subunit ribosomal RNA", at positions 26 to 628 of the family's 3401-position model. The record is from RNAcentral. Lineage: Eukaryota; Fungi; Neocallimastigomycota; Neocallimastigomycetes; Neocallimastigales.
CGUCUAUAUACGUAUAGCAUAUCAAUAAGCGGAGGAAAAGAAACUAACUAGGAUUCCCUCAGUAACGGCGAGUGAAGCGGGAAGAGCUCAAAUUUGAAAUCUUCAAGGUUCUACCUUGACGAAUUGUAGUUUAAAGAAGUGUUUUCUGUUGGAGUUUUGGUAAAAGUUCUUUGGAAUAGGACAUCAUAGAGGGUGAGAAUCCCGUAUUUGACCAUUAUUUCCAACUUUGUGAUACACUUUCAAAGAGUCGGAUUGUUUGGGAAUGCAGUCCAAAAUGGGUGGUAAAUUUCAUCUAAAGCUAAAUACUGGCGAGAGACCGAUAGCGAACAAGUACCGUGAGGGAAAGAUGAAAAGAACUUUGAAAAGAGAGUUAAACAGUACGUGAAAUUGUCAAAAGGGAAGCGUUUGACACCAGUGUUGUUUUCUCGAAAAUCAAUUAAAAAUGGCGGGAUUUUGUGUUGUAUUGACUUUAUCAGCUUUCUGCACUUUUUUCCUGUCUUUUUUAAUGCACUUUUCGUUUAACAAGUCAACAUCAAUUUCUUUUGUUGUAAAAGGGUCAUUGGAAGGUGGCUUUCUUUUCGGAGAAAGUGUUUAUAGCCUUUGACUUCUGCAAUCGGAGAGAUUGAGGUCUGCAGCGUAGAUCCUUCGGGGUUAGAUACAUUUGUGCUAAGUUAUAGCCUUUCAUAGACAACUUGUUGACUAUGAUCAGUCAUGUAGCUUACUCGCUUAUGUCAUUUUACCUACGCUUAGGAUGUUGACGAUCAGCUGAGCGCG